GUGCCAGCCGCCGCGGUAAUACGGAGGGUGCAAGCGUUGUUCGGAAUUAUUGGGCGUAAAGCGCGUGCAGGCGGUUGCUUAAGUCUGAUGUGAAAGCCCUGGGCUCAACCCGGGAAGUGCAUUGGAAACUGGGCAACUUGAGUACGGGAGAGGAUAGUGGAAUUCCGAGUGUAGGGGUGAAAUCCGUAGAUAUUCGGAGGAACACCGGUGGCGAAGGCGGCUAUCUGGACCGAUACUGACGCUGAGACGCGAAAGCGUGGGGAGCAAACAGGAUUAGAUACCCCCGUAGUCC
This 292-nucleotide ribosomal RNA is filed under the name uncultured bacterium. RNAcentral's name for it is "partial 16S ribosomal RNA". It matches the Rfam family "Bacterial small subunit ribosomal RNA", at positions 505 to 796 of the family's 1533-position model. The record is from RNAcentral.